Molecule: transfer RNA, 90 nt
Filed under: Polaromonas sp. JS666
Lineage: Bacteria; Pseudomonadati; Pseudomonadota; Betaproteobacteria; Burkholderiales; Comamonadaceae
Also listed under: 3 other names
Description: tRNA-Ser (TGA) (tRNA-Ser-TGA-1-1)
Rfam family: tRNA
About the family: Transfer RNA (tRNA) molecules are approximately 80 nucleotides in length.
Source: RNAcentral
GGAAGCUUGGCAGAGCGGUUGAAUGCAGCAGUCUUGAAAACUGCCGAGGAUGCGAGUCCUCCGUGAGUUCGAAUCUCACAGCUUCCGCCA